GUAAAAAGGAACAACUGGUUAACUGUUAACAUCUCUGCAAUGACAGCGAUACAAACUGGGUGUUUGUUCAGCUAAACCCUGAUCAGCACCGAAGCGUUGCUUCUCUUCAGCUUGCCGCUGUUUGCUAGUCAGGAUGAACUCGAUGAGGUUGUCAGAACAUGGAAUACACACAAGAUAAGAUUGAGGCCUGCACAUGGUGUGGACAGUGGACGGCCCAUUCUCAUGUCGUCUAUGCCAGAACUCUAAGGAGCAGAGGACAAACUCAAGACUGUAUCACCUGAGGAAGUUACUCUGUGCAAGGAAGAGUGCACACCCAAGGGACAGUACCCCUGUGAUGAGACAGUUUUUGAGCUCUGCAUUCUCCUCGUGUGAAAAUGGUUGGAGCCCUCCUGUGGAUGCAUACAGUGCCAUUGAUCCAUACUCAUUUUUAAGAAAUGAGAUGCUUGACAAUAUUUAGAUUCUUUGACAUGGCAUUGUAGCAUUCCUGUCUGAAUUAGACCAGCUUUCCAACUGAUGCUUUUCUUUUUCUUUAUUUUGAUAUUCACAUUGUAUGUGUCAUGCUCCUCCUGCUCUUGAGUGCUGACUCAUUAAGAUAAUGACAAGCGGCUGUGCUGGAGACGCAGCCAGUGCGAAUCUGCAAUCAGCGGCUGAUAAAACCCGGCUCUCCACACAGUACUGACGCUGGGACAUUACAUGCAGUACUCUGCCACACUCAUGUCUCUGUCAGGACUCUGUUGGACAUUAUACUCGCCGCACUCACCUUUUGCACGUCGCUCACCACUUCACACACAUCGCUUCCUGGAUUCAGUUUCACUUUUGGAUUACCUCAAUCUGCUCAGCUUUCCCGGUCUGCUCCUGGUCCAUCUGCAUCCCAGCCCUCGCCACCUUCCCUCAACUCUGCCUCAGUUCAUUCUUUGAUCCACCGGACAUUCUGUGAGUCACCCCUCUCCCCUGUUAGUUAGUUUAUUUUAGUAGACACUUCGGCCGUUUGGUUCACCUUCAGUUUUGUUAGUUUUGAGUUCCCCGUUCAGUUCAAUCCCCGUGCCUCUCUUCUAGAGUGCUUUCCCUUUGUUGUUUUCUGUUUAAUAAAUCCUUUUUAAUUCA
Molecule: long non-coding RNA, 1104 nt
Organism: Acanthochromis polyacanthus (spiny chromis)
Lineage: Eukaryota; Metazoa; Chordata; Actinopteri; Pomacentridae
Exons: 2
Source: RefSeq, a predicted model, not a curated record